This 897-nucleotide ribosomal RNA is filed under the name Lasionectria sp. DV-2018a. RNAcentral's name for it is "LSU rRNA". It matches the Rfam family "Eukaryotic large subunit ribosomal RNA", at positions 38 to 966 of the family's 3401-position model. The record is from RNAcentral. Lineage: Eukaryota; Fungi; Ascomycota; Sordariomycetes; Hypocreales; Nectriaceae.
GCAUAUCAAUAAGCGGAGGAAAAGAAACCAACAGGGAUUGCCCUAGUAACGGCGAGUGAAGCGGCAACAGCUCAAAUUUGAAAGCUGGCUCUCGGGCCCGCAUUGUAAUUUGCAGAGGAUGCUUCUGGCGACGCGCCUUCCGAGUUCCCUGGAACGGGACGCCAUAGAGGGUGAGAGCCCCGUCCGGUCGUGCGCCUAGCCUCUGUGAAGCUCCUUCGACGAGUCGAGUAGUUUGGGAAUGCUGCUCAAAAUGGGAGGUAUACGUCUUCUAAAGCUAAAUACCGGCCAGAGACCGAUAGCGCACAAGUAGAGUGAUCGAAAGAUGAAAAGCACUUUGAAAAGAGAGUUAAAAAGUACGUGAAAUUGUUGAAAGGGAAGCGCUCAUGACCAGACUUGGGCUGGCCCGAUCAUCCGGCGUUCUCGCCGGUGCACUCGGGCCGCUCAGGCCAGCAUCAGCUUUCGCCGGGGGAUAAAGGCGGCGGGAAUGUGGCUCCCUCGGGAGUGUUAUAGCCCGCCGUGCAAUACCCUGGUGGGGGCUGAGGUUCGCGCGUAUGCACGGAUGCUGGCGUAAUGGUUAUCAGCGACCCGUCUUGAAACACGGACCAAGGAGUCGUCUUCGUAUGCGAGUGUUCGGGUGUCAAACCCCUACGCGGAAUGAAAGUGAACGCUGGUGAGAGCUUCGGCGCAUCACCGACCGAUCCUGAUGUUCUCGGACGGAUUUGAGUAAGAGCAUACGGGGCCGGACCCGAAAGAAGGUGAACUAUGCCUGUAUAGGGUGAAGCCAGAGGAAACUCUGGUGGGAGGCUCGCAGCGGUUCUGACGUGCAAAUCGAUCGUCAAAUAUGGGCAUGGGGGCGAAAGACUAAUCGAACCUUCUAGUAGCUGGUUUCCGCCGAAG